Molecule: ribosomal RNA, 370 nt
Filed under: uncultured bacterium
Lineage: Bacteria
Description: bacterial SSU rRNA
Rfam family: Bacterial small subunit ribosomal RNA
Source: RNAcentral
ACGGAGGGUGCAAGCGUUAUCCGGAAUCACUGGGUUUAAAGGGUGCGUAGGCGGCCCAAUAAGUCAGUCGUGAAAUCGCUGGGCUCAACCCAUGCAAUUGCGAUUGAUACUGUUGGACUUGAAUGGGGUUGAGGCUGGCGGAAUGCGACAUGUAGCGGUGAAAUGCUUAGAUAUGUCGCAGAACACCGAUUGCGAAGGCAGCCAGCUGGGCCUUUAUUGACGCUGAGGCACGAAAGCGUGGGGAGCAAACAGGAUUAGAUACCCUGGUAGUCCACGCCCUAAACGAUGCUCACUUGCUGUUCCUCUUUCGGGGGGAGUGGCGUAGGGAAACCGGUAAGUGAGCCACCUGGGGAGUACGCCCGCAAGGGUG